CCUAUGGGAGGCUGCAGUGGGGAAUAUUGCACAAUGGGCGCAAGCCUGAUGCAGCCAUGCCGCGUGUGUGAAGAAGGCCUUCGGGUUGUAAAGCACUUUCCGCGGGGAGGAAGGCGUUAAGGUUAAUAACCUUGGCGAUUGACGUUACCCGCAGAAGAAGCACCGGCUAACUCCGUGCCAGCAGCCGCGGUAAUACGGAGGGUGCAAGCGUUAAUCGGAAUUACUGGGCGUAAAGCGCACGCAGGCGGUCUGUCAAGUCGGAUGUGAAAUCCCCGGGCUCAACCUGGGAACUGCAUUCGAAACUGGCAGGCUAGAGUCUUGUAGAGGGGGGUAGAAUUCCAGGUGUAGCGGUGAAAUGCGUAGAGAUCUGGAGGAAUACCGGUGGCGAAGGCGGCCCCCUGGACAAAGACUGACGCUCAGGUGCGAAAGCGUGGGGAGCAAACGGGAUUAGAUACCCGAGUAGUC
This 465-nucleotide ribosomal RNA is filed under the name uncultured Klebsiella sp. RNAcentral describes it as "bacterial SSU rRNA". It matches the Rfam family "Bacterial small subunit ribosomal RNA", at positions 338 to 795 of the family's 1533-position model. Lineage: Bacteria; Pseudomonadati; Pseudomonadota; Gammaproteobacteria; Enterobacterales; Enterobacteriaceae. The record is from RNAcentral.